Chlorocebus sabaeus (green monkey) is the source of this 88-nucleotide microRNA precursor. The record is from Ensembl. Lineage: Eukaryota; Metazoa; Chordata; Mammalia; Primates; Cercopithecidae.
GUAUUAGGUUGGUGCAAAAGUAAUUGCGGGUUUUGACAUUACUUUUAAUGGCAAAAACUGCAAUUACUUUUGCAUCAGCCUAAUAUUU